RNAcentral lists this unclassified non-coding RNA (211 nucleotides) under plant metagenome. RNAcentral describes it as "partial contains small subunit ribosomal RNA, internal transcribed spacer 1, and 5.8S ribosomal RNA". The record is from RNAcentral.
UUUCCGUAGGUGAACCUGCGGAAGGAUCAUUCAUAAUAAAGUGUUUUAUGGCACUUUUUAAAAAUCCAUAUCCACCUUGUGUGCAAUGUUAGAUCUCGUCAAUCUUGGCGAGAUUUUUAUACAUCAACUCAUUCUUUAACUAAUUUGUCUGAAAAGUAUUAUGAAUACUUAAUUCAAAAUACAACUUUCAACAACGGAUCUCUUGGCUCUG